Molecule: long non-coding RNA, 1444 nt
Organism: Oncorhynchus nerka (sockeye salmon)
Lineage: Eukaryota; Metazoa; Chordata; Actinopteri; Salmoniformes; Salmonidae
Exons: 3
Source: RefSeq, a predicted model, not a curated record
CUGGCCAUUCUUCAACAAUGUGGAGAGAAGGAGAGGGAGCAGAGAACAGCUCCUCCCUAAGUCUGGGCCUGGCUGAGAAUGACUAGCUUUUGACUGAAGCUUUAUGAGAUUUCAUUUUCAUUCUCUGUGAUGUGACCCAAAAAAGCUGUCAACAGUGGAUCCAGUCUCUUGGACCAGCUGCUGGCCCAUAGGGAGACCAGGCCUCCCUGAGAGUUCUCACCUUCGGAAGGACCUGAGCCCUAGGACCGUGCCCCAGGACUACCUGACAUGAUGACUCCUUGCUGUCCCCAGUCCACCUGACUGUGCUGCUGCUCCAGUUUCAACUGUUCUGCCUUAUUAUUAUUCGACCAUGCUGGUCAUUUAUGAACAUUUGAACAUCUUGGCCAUGUUCUGUUAUAAUCUCCACCCGGCACAGCCAGAAGAGGACUGGCCACCCCACAUAGCCUGGUUCCUCUCUAGGUUUCUUCCUAGGUUUUGGCCUUUCUAGGGAGUUUUUCCUAGCCACCGUGCUUCUACACCUGCAUUGCUUGCUGUUUGGGGUUUUAGGCUGGGUUUCUGUACAGCACUUUGAGAUAUCAGCUGAUGUACGAAGGGCUAUAUAAAUACAUUUGAUUUGAUUUGACUUAUGAGGCCAUGCAGACUAGAUGCAGACUGCACCUUGCUCAUUGUUCAAAGUGCACGUCAAUGCCUUCAGAGUCCUAACAUUCCCAUAACCAACAGAUGUAUGUCCAAGAGGAAAUAUAUAGACCACUGUAGGUUUCAGUUCUGUUUGGUCUGAACACUCAAGACAUUAGAUAGGUUUAACACAUACAGUAUAUAGACCUACGGUGGGUGCAGUAAACACAUUCUUCUGCAUAAGGCUAUUAGAACAAACUACCAAGACUUUCAGAUCAAUCCUAUUUGCAGUAAACAGAUCAAUCCAAUUUGAUGCAUAAUAUGAACAUGGCUAUAAUCAUAUAAAUCUGCCACAGGAACUCUGUAGUCUAGGUUGCUAGUUUACUAUAGAAUACUAUAGUACUUACUAUAGUAUCCCUCAACCAUGUGUAGUACUUACUAUAGAAUUGUGUAUUAUACUAUAGAAUACUAUAGUAAAUACAGUAUACUACAGAGCGCAAAAACACUACAGUAAAUACUACAAUAAUGUCCUCAAAAACACUACAGUUGUCACGUUGUUCGUAAUAAUGAUGGUCGGACCAAGGCGCAGCGUACAUAGAGUUCCACAUACUUUUAAUGAAUAAAGUGAAACUUAAGCAAAUACAAAACAAUAAAGAAUAAACGAACGAUGACGACAAUUCAGUGCUAACAAGCAACUAAACAUAAACAAUAUCCCAUAACCCACAGGUGGAAAAAAUGCUGGGGCCGCCACUGGUGGUACCGGGCUGGUGACACGCACCUCAGGGCGAGCGAGGAGUAGGCAACGGACGCACCUGACUGGAAAAACGCA